UUAAGCGACUAAGCGUACACGGUGGAUGCCCUGGCAGUCAGAGGCGAUGAAGGACGUGCUAAUCUGCGAUAAGCGUCGGUAAGGUGAUAUGAACCGUUAUAACCGGCGAUUUCCGAAUGGGGAAACCCAGUGUGAUUCGUCACACUAUCAUUACGUGAAUACAUAGCGUAAUGAAGCGAACCGGGGGAACUGAAACAUCUAAGUACCCCGAGGAAAAGAAAUCAACCGAGAUUCCCCCAGUAGCGGCGAGCGAACGGGGAGCAGCCCAGAGUCUGAAUCAGCUUGUGUGUUAGUGGAACGGUCUGGAAAGUCCGACGGUACAGGGUGAUAGUCCCGUACACCAAAAUGCACAGGUUGUGAACUCGAAGAGUAGGGCGGGACACGUGGUAUCCUGUCUGAAUAUGGGGGGACCAUCCUCCAAGGCUAAAUACUCCUGACUGACCGAUAGUGAACCAGUACCGUGAGGGAAAGGCGAAAAGAACCCCGGCGAGGGGAGUGAAAAAGAACCUGAAACCGUGUACGUACAAGCAGUGGGAGCAUCCUUUUGGGUGUGACUGCGUACCUUUUGUAUAAUGGGUCAGCGACUUAUAUUCUGUAGCAAGGUUAACCGUAUAGGGGAGCCGAAGGGAAACCGAGUCUUAACUGGGCGUUAAGUUGCAGGGUAUAGACCCGAAACCCGGUGAUCUAGCCAUGGGCAGGUUGAAGGUUGGGUAACACUAACUGGAGGACCGAACCGACUAAUGUUGAAAAAUUAGCGGAUGACUUGUGGCUGGGGGUGAAAGGCCAAUCAAACCGGGAGAUAGCUGGUUCUCCCCGAAAGCUAUUUAGGUAGCGCCUCGUGAAUUCAUCUUCGGGGGUAGAGCACUGUUUCGGCUAGGGGGUCAUCCCGACUUACCAACCCGAUGCAAACUGCGAAUACCGAAGAAUGUUAUCACGGGAGACACACGGCGGGUGCUAACGUCCGUCGUGAAGAGGGAAACAACCCAGACCGCCAGCUAAGGUCCCAAAGUCAUGGUUAAGUGGGAAACGAUGUGGGAAGGCACAGACAGCCAGGAUGUUGGCUUAGAAGCAGCCAUCAUUUAAAGAAAGCGUAAUAGCUCACUGGUCGAGUCGGCCUGCGCGGAAGAUGUAACGGGGCUAAACCAUGCACCGAAGCUGCGGCAGCGACACUAUGUGUUGUUGGGUAGGGGAGCGUUCUGUAAGCCGUUGAAGGUGUGCUGUGAGGCAUGCUGGAGGUAUCAGAAGUGCGAAUGCUGACAUAAGUAACGAUAAUGCGGGUGAAAAACCCGCACGCCGGAAGACCAAGGGUUCCUGUCCAACGUUAAUCGGGGCAGGGUGAGUCGACCCCUAAGGCGAGGCCGAAAGGCGUAGUCGAUGGGAAACAGGUUAAUAUUCCUGUACUUGGUGUUACUGCGAAGGGGGGACGGAGAAGGCUAUGUUAGCCGGGCGACGGUUGUCCCGGUUUAAGCAUGUAGGCGGAGGUUCCAGGUAAAUCCGGUACCUUUUUAACGCUGAGGUGUGAUGACGAGGCACUACGGUGCUGAAGUAACAAAUGCCCUGCUUCCAGGAAAAGCCUCUAAGCAUCAGGUAACACGAAAUCGUACCCCAAACCGACACAGGUGGUCAGGUAGAGAAUACCAAGGCGCUUGAGAGAACUCGGGUGAAGGAACUAGGCAAAAUGGUGCCGUAACUUCGGGAGAAGGCACGCUGAUAUGUAGGUGAAGUGAUUUACUCAUGGAGCUGAAAUCAGUCGAAGAUACCAGCUGGCUGCAACUGUUUAUUAAAAACACAGCACUGUGCAAACACGAAAGUGGACGUAUACGGUGUGACGCCUGCCCGGUGCCGGAAGGUUAAUUGAUGGGGUUAUCCGUAAGGAGAAGCUCUUGAUCGAAGCCCCGGUAAACGGCGGCCGUAACUAUAACGGUCCUAAGGUAGCGAAAUUCCUUGUCGGGUAAGUUCCGACCUGCACGAAUGGCGUAAUGAUGGCCAGGCUGUCUCCACCCGAGACUCAGUGAAAUUGAACUCGCUGUGAAGAUGCAGUGUACCCGCGGCAAGACGGAAAGACCCCGUGAACCUUUACUAUAGCUUGACACUGAACACUGGUCCUUGAUGUGUAGGAUAGGUGGGAGGCUUUGAAGUGUGGACGCCAGUCUGCAUGGAGCCAUCCUUGAAAUACCACCCUUUAAUGGCUGGUGUUCUAACGUGGACCCGUAAUCCGGGUUGCGGACAGUGUCUGGUGGGUAGUUUGACUGGGGCGGUCUCCUCCUAAAGAGUAACGGAGGAGCACGAAGGUUAGCUAAUCCUGGUCGGACAUCAGGAGGUUAGUGCAAAGGCAUAAGCUAGCUUGACUGCGAGAGUGACGGCUCGAGCAGGUGCGAAAGCAGGUCUUAGUGAUCCGGUGGUUCUGAAUGGAAGGGCCAUCGCUCAACGGAUAAAAGGUACUCCGGGGAUAACAGGCUGAUACCGCCCAAGAGUUCAUAUCGACGGCGGUGUUUGGCACCUCGAUGUCGGCUCAUCACAUCCUGGGGCUGAAGUAGGUCCCAAGGGUAUGGCUGUUCGCCAUUUAAAGUGGUACGCGAGCUGGGUUUAGAACGUCGUGAGACAGUUCGGUCCCUAUCUGCCGUGGGCGCUGGAGAAUUGAGGGGGGCUGCUCCUAGUACGAGAGGACCGGAGUGGACGCAUCACUGGUGUUCGGGUUGUCAUGCCAAUGGCAUUGCCCGGUAGCUAAAUGCGGAAGAGAUAAGUGCUGAAAGCAUCUAAGCACGAAACUUGCCCCGAGAUGAGUUCUCCCUGAGACUUUAAGUCUCCUGAAGGAACGUUGAAGACGACGACGUUGAUAGGUCGGGUGUGUAAGCGUAGCGAUACGUUGAGCUAACCGAUACUAAUGAACCGUGAGGCUUAACCUU
This 2906-nucleotide ribosomal RNA is filed under the name Citrobacter freundii. RNAcentral's name for it is "23S ribosomal RNA". It matches the Rfam family "Bacterial large subunit ribosomal RNA". Lineage: Bacteria; Pseudomonadati; Pseudomonadota; Gammaproteobacteria; Enterobacterales; Enterobacteriaceae. The record is from RNAcentral.